Molecule: ribosomal RNA, 480 nt
Filed under: Didymella microchlamydospora
Lineage: Eukaryota; Fungi; Ascomycota; Dothideomycetes; Pleosporales; Didymellaceae
Description: eukaryotic LSU rRNA
Rfam family: Eukaryotic large subunit ribosomal RNA
Source: RNAcentral
UUGACCUCGGAUCAGGUAGGGAUACCCGCUGAACUUAAGCAUAUCAAUAAGCGGAGGAAAAGAAACCAACAGGGAUUGCCCUAGUAACGGCGAGUGAAGCGGCAACAGCUCAAAUUUGAAAUCUGGCGUCUUUGGCGUCCGAGUUGUAAUUUGCAGAGGGCGCUUUGGCAUUGGCAGCGGUCCAAGUUCCUUGGAACAGGACGUCACAGAGGGUGAGAAUCCCGUACGUGGUCGCUAGCCUUUACCGUGUAAAGCCCCUUCGACGAGUCGAGUUGUUUGGGAAUGCAGCUCUAAAUGGGAGGUAAAUUUCUUCUAAAGCUAAAUACUGGCCAGAGACCGAUAGCGCACAAGUAGAGUGAUCGAAAGAUGAAAAGCACUUUGGAAAGAGAGUUAAAAAGCACGUGAAAUUGUUGAAAGGGAAGCGCUUGCAGAGAACUUAUAGGGGAGACGACAUGCAACCAGCCUGGACUGAGGUCCGCG